RNAcentral lists this long non-coding RNA (358 nucleotides) under Zea mays. Its description in RNAcentral is "long non-coding RNA (ZMAY_LNC001443)". The record is from RNAcentral. Lineage: Eukaryota; Viridiplantae; Streptophyta; Magnoliopsida; Poales; Poaceae.
CUCCCCCCGACCGGGAUCUGCGGCUGCUGCCAUCCUCAAAACGCCGGAGGCCAUGGGGUUCGACUGCGCGCACCGCUCUGCACUGGAUGCCAUGGGAUUCGACUACGUGCACCGCUCUGCUGUAGACAUCGUCAUCGUCGAUGUCCUCCUCCGCUACAUCACCCACCUGGACUGGUCUGCCGCCUUCCAUGCCAACCUCGCCGGCCACGCACUCGCCAACGAGCUCGACGUUGUACAGGUGCUCGCAGGUGGUCGGCACCGACACGGACGGCUUCGCGGGCGCGGCGGCCACGGACCGCUGCCUCGUUGGCUUCGGUGUAAUUAGAGACCUCAUGGUGUUCGUCGACAACUAACUCGA